This 742-nucleotide ribosomal RNA is filed under the name uncultured Bacillus sp. RNAcentral describes it as "bacterial SSU rRNA". It matches the Rfam family "Bacterial small subunit ribosomal RNA", at positions 760 to 1494 of the family's 1533-position model. Lineage: Bacteria; Bacillati; Bacillota; Bacilli; Caryophanales; Bacillaceae. The record is from RNAcentral.
CGUGGGGAGCAAAACAGGAUUAGAUACCCCUGGUAGUCCACGCCCGUAAAACGAUGAGUGCUAAGUGUNAGGGGGUNUCCGCCCCUUAGUGCUGCAGCUAACGCAUUAAGCACUCCGCCUGGGGAGUACGGUCGCAAGACUGAAACUCAAAGGAAUUGACGGGGGCCCCGCACAAGCGGUGGAGCAUGUGGUUUAAUUCGAAGCAACGCGAAGAACCUUACCAGGUCUUGACAUCCCGCUGACCGGCCUAGAGAUAGGCUUUUCCCUUCGGGGACAGCGGUGACAGGUGGUGCAUGGUUGUCGUCAGCUCGUGUCGUGAGAUGUUGGGUUAAGUCCCGCAACGAGCGCAACCCUUGAUCUUAGUUGCCAGCAUUCAGUUGGGCACUCUAAGGUGACUGCCGGUGAUAAACCGGAGGAAGGUGGGGAUGACGUCAAAUCAUCAUGCCCCUUACGACCUGGGCUACACACGUGCUACAAUGGACGGUACAGAGGGUCGCAACCCCGCGAGGGUGAGCAAAUCCCAUAAAACCGUUCUCAGUUCGGAUUGUAGGCUGCAACUCGCCUACAUGAAGCCGGAAUCGCUAGUAAUCGUGGAUCAGCAUGCCACGGUGAAUACGUUCCCGGGCCUUGUACACACCGCCCGUCACACCACGAGAGUUUGUAACACCCGAAGUCGGUGGGGUAACCCUUACGGGAGCCAGCCGCCGAAGGUGGGACAGAUGAUUGGGGUGAAGUCGAACAA